UACGUAGGGUGCAAGCGUUGUCCGGAAUUAUUGGGCGUAAAGAGCUCGUAGGCGGUCAGUCGCGUCUGCUGUGAAAACUCGGGGCUUAACCCCGGGCCUGCAGUGGGUACGGGCUGACUAGAGUGCGGUAGGGGAGACUGGAAUUCCUGGUGUAGCGGUGAAAUGCGCAGAUAUCAGGAGGAACACCGGUGGCGAAGGCGGGUCUCUGGGCCGAUAUUGACGCUGAGGAGCGAAAGCGUGGGGAGCGAACAGG
RNAcentral lists this ribosomal RNA (253 nucleotides) under uncultured bacterium. Its description in RNAcentral is "partial 16S ribosomal RNA". It matches the Rfam family "Bacterial small subunit ribosomal RNA", at positions 524 to 776 of the family's 1533-position model. The record is from RNAcentral.